GGCCACCUUCGGGGGGCUUACACAUAGGCGGGCCCCUGGCAACCAGGCCCCGCCGCUAGCAAACGGAAGACAGAAA
RNAcentral lists this non-coding RNA (76 nucleotides) under unclassified sequences. RNAcentral's name for it is "L2-Alphaproteobacteria ribosomal protein leader". It matches the Rfam family "L2-Alphaproteobacteria ribosomal protein leader". The record is from RNAcentral.